GAUGAACGCUGGCGGCGUGCUUAACACAUGCAAGUCGAACGGAAAGGCCCUGCUUUUGUGGGGUGCUCGAGUGGCGAACGGGUGAGUAACACGUGAGUAACCUGCCCUUGACUUUGGGAUAACUUCAGGAAACUGGGGCUAAUACCGGAUAGGAGCUCCUGCUGCAUGGUGGGGGUUGGAAAGUUUCGGCGGUUGGGGAUGGACUCGCGGCUUAUCAGCUUGUUGGUGGGGUAGUGACUUACCAAGGCUUUGACGGGUAGCCGGCCUGAGAGGGUGACCGGCCACAUUGGGACUGAGAUGCGGCCCAGACUCCUACGGGAGGCAGCAGUGGGGAAUAUUGCACAAUGGGCGGAAGCCUGAUGCAGCAACGCCGCGUGCGGGAUGACGGCCUUCGGGUUGUAAACCGCUUUCGCCUGUGACGAAGCGUGAGGGACGGUAAUGGGUAAAGAAGCACCGGCUAACUACGUG
This 468-nucleotide ribosomal RNA is filed under the name uncultured bacterium. RNAcentral describes it as "partial 16S ribosomal RNA". It matches the Rfam family "Bacterial small subunit ribosomal RNA", at positions 28 to 507 of the family's 1533-position model. The record is from RNAcentral.